AACGAACGCUGGCGGCAUGCCUAACACAUGCAAGUCGAACGAGACCUCCGGGUCUAGUGGCGCACGGGUGCGUAACGCGUGGGAACCUGCCUUUAGGUUCGGAAUAACUCCCCGAAAGGGGUGCUAAUACCGGAUAAUGUCUUCGGACCAAAGAUUUAUCGCCUUUGGAUGGGCCCGCGUUGGAUUAGCUAGUUGGUAGGGUAAAAGCCUACCAAGGCGACGAUCCAUAGCUGGUCUGAGAGGAUGAUCAGCCACACUGGGACUGAGACACGGCCCAGACUCCUACGGGAGGCAGCAGUGGGGAAUAUUGGACAAUGGGCGAAAGCCUGAUCCAGCAAUGCCGCGUGAGUGAUGAAGGCCUUAGGGUUGUAAAGCUCUUUUACCCGGGAUGAUAAUGACAGUACCGGGAGAAUAAGCUCCGGCUAACUCCGUG
This 433-nucleotide ribosomal RNA is filed under the name uncultured bacterium. RNAcentral describes it as "partial 16S ribosomal RNA". It matches the Rfam family "Bacterial small subunit ribosomal RNA", at positions 29 to 507 of the family's 1533-position model. The record is from RNAcentral.